RNAcentral lists this ribosomal RNA (253 nucleotides) under uncultured bacterium. RNAcentral describes it as "partial 16S ribosomal RNA". It matches the Rfam family "Bacterial small subunit ribosomal RNA", at positions 524 to 776 of the family's 1533-position model. The record is from RNAcentral.
UACAGAGGGUGCAAGCGUUGUUCGGAAUUACUGGGCGUAAAGGGCUCGUAGGCGGCCAACUAAGUCAGACGUGAAAUCCCUCGGCUUAACCGGGGAACUGCGUCUGAUACUGGAUGGCUUGAAUCCGGGAGAGGGAUGCGGAAUUCCAGGUGUAGCGGUGAAAUGCGUAGAUAUCUGGAGGAACACCGGUGGCGAAGGCGGCAUCCUGGACCGGCAUUGACGCUGAGGAGCGAAAGCCAGGGGAGCAAACGGG